AACGUAGGAGGCGAGCGUUAUCCGGAUUUACUGGGUGUAAAGCGCAUGCAGGCGGUUACGUAAGUUGGGUGUGAAAGCUCCUGGCUCAACUGGGAGAGGUCGCUCAAGACUGCGUGACUUGAGAAUGGUAGGGGAACGUGGAAUUCCGGGUGUAGUGGUGAAAUGCGUAGAUAUCCGGAGGAACACCAGUGGCGAAAGCGGCGUUCUGGACCAUGACUGACGCUCAGAUGCGACAGCUAGGGGAGCAAACGGG
RNAcentral lists this ribosomal RNA (253 nucleotides) under uncultured bacterium. RNAcentral describes it as "partial 16S ribosomal RNA". It matches the Rfam family "Bacterial small subunit ribosomal RNA", at positions 524 to 776 of the family's 1533-position model. The record is from RNAcentral.